RNAcentral lists this transfer RNA (68 nucleotides) under Campsosternus auratus. RNAcentral describes it as "tRNA-Ser". The record is from RNAcentral. Lineage: Eukaryota; Metazoa; Arthropoda; Insecta; Coleoptera; Elateridae.
GAAAUAUGAUAUUCCGAGAUAAAGCUUCUAACUUCAAUCUCUAGCGGUGCAAUUCCGUUAAUGUUUCU